ACAAAGUCUCGGGUAAGAACGCGUCUCGUUCACUCCUAGUCCUCUUUGCCUUCUAUGUCACUCCCCCAAAAAGCCUGUCGUCCUUUGAAUUUUCUUGCCCUUUCCAUGCACCUAAUAACGUCACCCUAAGCAAGGUCCGAUCCUUCAUCAAUCCCACGAGAAGUUCCAGUUCUCUAGAUUCACCCUUUUAGUUUCUCUCUCUGAUCGGAUCACAAGAUUUCCAGACAAGUUCAUCG
Molecule: long non-coding RNA, 236 nt
Filed under: Eucalyptus grandis
Lineage: Eukaryota; Viridiplantae; Streptophyta; Magnoliopsida; Myrtales; Myrtaceae
Description: long non-coding RNA (EGRA_LNC001043)
Source: RNAcentral